Lolium rigidum is the source of this 913-nucleotide long non-coding RNA. RefSeq lists it as uncharacterized. Lineage: Eukaryota; Viridiplantae; Streptophyta; Magnoliopsida; Poales; Poaceae. The transcript is spliced from 5 exons. The record is from RefSeq and is a predicted model, not a curated record.
GGACGGUGCGCCGCCAAGGUGGUGUUGAGCACUUUAAAACAAUUUUCAAUCGAAUCAGCCACCUCCGUCGCCUUGCAAAUUUCUGUAGGCUCAAACACUUUUCGGAGCACUUCAUGUCUUACAGACAUUUAGCCAAUUGUGUUACUUUGAUUUCACAUCAAGGCUUGAAAUCAUUCGGCUAUGUGGAUGAUUACUGAUAGGCCUAAAUUUCCUGACCGGGUUCUUCUCAUAGAUGAUUUUGUAUUAGAACAAUAUGAAACAGAGAUAUCAACUGAAUCAACCCCAUUUGCCGUUUCACUUGCAAGACACCUACACACUGUUGUUUGGUUCUGAGAUGUAUGGAGCGUUUUGGUGUUCUCAUUACAAUGAGCAAAAACUGACCAAAAAGUGCUAAAUAUGCAAGUCUUGACGCUAAAAGAUUUAUCAUCCCAAGAUUCAACUGGAAGGUUCUUGUGUGUGCUGCUCGAAUAUGGAAGUGUAGGCAUCAGAAAAACAAAGCAGAACUUAUAUGAGCUAGAGUUUAUUGUCGAUGAGGCUGAAGAUCAAAGAAGAAGCACAUAUCAGGCGUGCCACCAAGGAGUAGGUUAUCCCCAACACGGUUGGCAAAGGCAUGGAAAUUAGCCUCCUUUUCUCUGACAAAGAAGAGGUGACUUUGGUAAAUACUGAUUGCCCUCCAAGUAGAAAUAAUAAGGUUUUCCAAAAAUUGUGUUCUAUGUUUUUACGUCCCAGUUACCAAGUGUAAUGUGCAUACGAUGGCUUCCAGGGAUUGCAUAGUCAGUUUUUAUCUUUGAUGGUGUAAUAAAAGUUGCGACGAGAUCCCAUACAUGUACCACAUGCAUCAACAUUGUUGCUUUUUCUUUUUGCGAAUUCAUCUACAUUGUUGCUUGAUAGAUGAUUUAUCUGACAACUUGGA